Molecule: ribosomal RNA, 253 nt
Filed under: uncultured bacterium
Lineage: Bacteria
Description: partial 16S ribosomal RNA
Rfam family: Bacterial small subunit ribosomal RNA
Source: RNAcentral
UACGAACCGUACGAACGUUAUUCGGAAUCACUGGGCUUAAAGAGUGCGUAGGCGGCCUGUUAAGUUGGGUGUGAAAUCCCUCGGCUCAACCGAGGAAUGGCGCCCAAAACUAGCAGGCUUGAGGAAGAUAGAGGUGAGCGGAACUAAUGGUGGAGCGGUGAAAUGCGUUGAUAUCAUUAGGAACACCUGAGGCGAAAGCAGCUCACUGGGUCUUUUCUGACGCUGAGGCACGAAAGCUAGGGGAGCGAACGGG